GCGUGAGCUGCUUGUGAUGGCAUUAGUCGAACCUAGACCGCGUGCGUCGGAAACAAUGAAUUAUAGCAGCGAAUUCGUCACUGAAGAGGCUGUUUCUUGGCUACAGUCGCAUGGAAUGAGACUUAAGAAAGGAAAGGUAGGCAAAAGAAAUUUCUUAACAACGUAUUUUACUGCAACUUUACAUUCACAAACUUGACCGCUCCAUUGAUCUUUGUUCGUAUCUUAUCUUGCAGAAAAAGACGGUUGCGAUGGCCAAGAUCUCCUUGCCAUCGCCCAAGAUGCAGACGUACCAAGGCACUACAUCCCUAUUAUAAAAGAGCGUCUAAAGCUCAAGAAAUUGAUUGCAAUGAACGCUGAACCUAGAGAUGACACGAGUUCUUCGUCGCGUGCAGAAUCAAGUCCUUCGAGUAAGACGGUUCAAACGUCGAUUGAUGAUUCAGAUAACAUCAGCGAUUAUGAAAAUUUAGAGGUGACAUUGGCACCGAAAGAAAAGGGUAAAUCGCCCAAGGAUCUCUGUUUUACGGACGAGGCGACAGAACUGAGCACUGUCUAAGUUCCUCCUGAAUGGCUUUCAAAAUUCCAACUACCAUCGAGGUUCUCUGCCUCAGUAGAGUUGGAUACCCAGAAGGGAUAUCUCAUCAGCAGCCUAAAGUACUCUGAGCAACAGUGGAUUGCAAAAAAAAAUUAUUGCAGAGUAUCCUUGUAUGGUUAGCAGGAUACUAGACUAAGUUGACUUGGAAACUGAAUGGAUUGGUAUGGUCUAAAAAUCUAUUGCUUCACCUCUUCUGCUUGCAGUGAAGAGAGACAAUUUUGUGGUGCUGAAUCUCUUGCCUUAAACUAAAAAGUUGCAAAAUAAUCACUCUCACCUUUUAAGUUCAUGACCUUUGUUCUUGUGUGUUUGUCAUCACAUGCAUUUAAUGAAGUUGUGACCAUUUUGGAGGUACAAGUCCAAAAAACUGCUACUUUGGUACUAAGAUGAACAGCUAAAAUUUCUGAGCCCAUUUGCCAAUGAAGUCCAGAUACAAAGGUUCAAGUACUUUGGGGUUGUAUUAAUUUUGCCUUUUUGUUUAGUUUUUUUGAUUUUGCAAUUUUUUAAAAUAUUCCUGUUGUCAAACCAUUAGAUAAAUAUUGGACAUAGAAUAGCUGAUUUUUUUCAGAUAUUUUGGGAGUCAUACAUUAGUUUUUCAAGUCUUGAAUGGGAGACAAA
Molecule: non-coding RNA, 1207 nt
Organism: Pocillopora verrucosa
Lineage: Eukaryota; Metazoa; Cnidaria; Anthozoa; Scleractinia; Pocilloporidae
Source: RefSeq, a predicted model, not a curated record